UCCAAAAUUUCAAAGAAAUUAUGUGCUUUUCAAUACCUCUUCUGUUGGGUAUGUCAAGUAAUUAAAUUGUGUGUGUGGUAGAACUAAGUAUGUUGCAUCAUUUUGUUGUCUAUUUAUGGUUUUCAGAGAUGAUAAAACUGAUCAAGAGGAAAUCGACUGAAAGCAGAGGAGGGGGGAAACUAUAAUUAAAACUCCAGUUCAGACUGUCCAAACCAUCUUCCAAGAGUUGCAAUUGUUAGAAGACCAAAUGUUGGGACGCAAUGUUGGUCUGGACUCUGGUGCAAAGCUUUAGAUCUCCUAAAGUGACAAAGGAUGGGAUCACUGUAGCAAAGAGCUUUGGGUUCAGAAAUACAUGCUCAAAUUCCUUGAGCUUUCAAAUGAAAAAGAAACACAGAUCAAGUGGACUUCUGAUAGGGAA
Molecule: long non-coding RNA, 418 nt
Organism: Rosa chinensis
Lineage: Eukaryota; Viridiplantae; Streptophyta; Magnoliopsida; Rosales; Rosaceae
Exons: 3
Source: RefSeq, a predicted model, not a curated record